UUCCUAGUAUAAGUAUGUCCCAUGCAAUAUUUGGGACAUACUUAUACUGUUUAAAA
Molecule: microRNA precursor, 56 nt
Organism: Ovis aries (sheep)
Lineage: Eukaryota; Metazoa; Chordata; Mammalia; Artiodactyla; Bovidae
Rfam family: mir-1302 microRNA precursor family
Source: Rfam